GAUGAACGCUGGCGGCGUGCCUAAUACAUGCAAGUCGAGCGAACAGACGAGGAGCUUUCUCCUCUGACUUUAGCGGCGGACGGGUGAGUAAAACGUGGAUAACCGACCUAUAAGACUGGGAUAACUUCGGGAAACCGGGGCUAAUACCGGAUAAUAUAUUGAACCGCAUGGUUCAAUAGUGAAAGACGGUUUUGCUGUCACUUAUAGAUGGAUCCGCGCCGCAUUAGCUAGUUGGUAAGGUAACGGCUUACCAAGGCAACGAUGCGUAGCCGACCUGAGAGGGUGAUCGGCCACACUGUAACUGAGACACGGUCCAGACUCCUACGGGAGGCAGCCGUAGGGAAUCUUCCGCAAUGGGCGAAAGCCUGACGGAGCAACGCCGCGUGAGUGAUGAAGGUCUUCGGAUCGUAAAACUCUGUUAUUAGGGAAGAACAAAUGUGUUAGUAACUAUGCACGUCUUGACGGUACCUAAUCAGAAAGCCACGGCUAACUACGUG
Molecule: ribosomal RNA, 497 nt
Filed under: uncultured bacterium
Lineage: Bacteria
Description: partial 16S ribosomal RNA
Rfam family: Bacterial small subunit ribosomal RNA
Source: RNAcentral